RNAcentral lists this ribosomal RNA (253 nucleotides) under uncultured bacterium. RNAcentral's name for it is "partial 16S ribosomal RNA". It matches the Rfam family "Bacterial small subunit ribosomal RNA", at positions 524 to 776 of the family's 1533-position model. The record is from RNAcentral.
UACGUAGGGUGCGAGCGUUGUCCGGAAUCAUUGGGCGUAAAGAGCGUGUAGGCGGCCAGAAAAGUCCGCUGUGAAAACUCGAGGCUCAACUUCGAGCUGUCGGUGGAAACUUUCUGGCUAGAGUCCGGAAGAGGAGAAUGGAAUUCCUGGUGUAGCGGUGAAAUGCGCAGAUAUCAGGAAGAACACCCGUGGCGAAGGCGGUUCGCUGGGACGGGACUGACGCUGAGACGCGAAAGCGUGGGGAGCGAACAGG